RNAcentral lists this ribosomal RNA (253 nucleotides) under uncultured Armatimonadota bacterium. RNAcentral describes it as "uncultured Armatimonadetes bacterium partial 16S ribosomal RNA". It matches the Rfam family "Bacterial small subunit ribosomal RNA", at positions 524 to 776 of the family's 1533-position model. Lineage: Bacteria; Bacillati; Armatimonadota. The record is from RNAcentral.
UACGUAGGGGGCGAGCGUUGUCCGAAUUUACUGGGCGUAAAGCGCGUGUAGGCGGCUCUUUAAGUGAGAUGUGAAAUCCUGUGGCUCAACCACAGAACUGCAUUUCAAACUGGAGAGCUUGAGUUUGGGAGAGGAGAGUGGAAUUCCUGGUGUAGCGGUGAAAUGCGUAGAUAUCAGGAGGAACACCCGUGGCGAAGGCGGCUCUCUGGCCCAACACUGACGCUGAGACGCGAAAGCUAGGGGAGCGAACGGG